AACGAACGCUGGCGGCAUGCCUAACACAUGCAAGUCGAACGAGACCUUCGGGUCUAGUGGCGCACGGGUGCGUAACGCGUGGGAACCUGCCCUUAGGUUCGGAAUAACUCCCCGAAAGGGGUGCUAAUACCGGAUAAUGUCUUCGGACCAAAGAUUUAUCGCCUUUGGAUGGGCCCGCGUUGGAUUAGCUAGUUGGUAGGGUAAAAGCCUACCAAGGCGACGAUCCAUAGCUGGUCUGAGAGGAUGAUCAGCCACACUGGGACUGAGGCAUGGCCCAGACUCCUACGGGAGGCAGCAGUGGGGAAUAUUGGACAAUGGGCGAAAGCCUGAUCCAGCAAUGCCGCGUGAGUGAUGAAGGCCUUAGGGUUGUAAAGCUCUUUUACCCGGGAUGAUAAUGACAGUACCGGGAGAAUAAGCUCCGGCUAACUCCGUG
Molecule: ribosomal RNA, 433 nt
Filed under: uncultured bacterium
Lineage: Bacteria
Description: partial 16S ribosomal RNA
Rfam family: Bacterial small subunit ribosomal RNA
Source: RNAcentral